Catharus ustulatus (Swainson's thrush) is the source of this 631-nucleotide long non-coding RNA. RefSeq lists it as uncharacterized. The record is from RefSeq and is a predicted model, not a curated record. The transcript is spliced from 7 exons. Lineage: Eukaryota; Metazoa; Chordata; Aves; Passeriformes; Turdidae.
GAGAUGCUGGAGCUGGCAGAGGAAGAGAGAAGAAGUGAAUGGCAUGGAAAUGAUGCUGGCAGGGAGCUCCAUGAUGAGCAGAGGCUCUCUCAGAAUGGUGAGGCUGACAAGUGAUAUUCCACAUGGACCUGACUGCUUUGUGGCUCACCUUGGGCUUCUCAGCUCUCCACAGAGAUCCAUCACCUCUUCUCUGGAGUGCAGCACAUUCAUAGAUUAGUGGCGCAGUUCCACCUGGAUUUACACCCGGAGUAUCCACGGCCUUCACCUAAUUCAUGUGGAGACCUGCCAAAGGAAAGCCUUGCAUCUGUCAAUAACUUGUGGAAAGUGAUUCCUCAUUUCUGAGAUACCUACCAGGAAUGGCAGAUUUAGCAAGAGUUUCUAAGUUCCUCAGACAAUUAGAAAAUACCCCAAGCCUCUGCAACAGAUCUUCCCAAGGAUGAUGUGUCACCACUUGAAGACUGAUCCCACGAAGGACAAACCAAUUCUGAAAUGCUGUGUGGCAGCUUUGCAAGGAGGGAAAUCCUCCAAUGAGGAUUGCACAGCACUUCCAGUCAUCUCAGUUAGCACUUGGACCAAAUGUGGAACUGAACUCCAGAGAUGUGCUGCUGUGAUGGAAAUUUCUGUUCCAACA